GCCCUUGGCUGAUGAACUCCACACGCCCCUCCACUGCAAACUCGGGGUCCUCCGAGGGCAGUCGCCGCCUGGACACCUUCACUUUCACUGCUGCGAGAAAGAAACAGCAGGACUGAGCAGGAGAACAGGAGACAGCCUUGAUUCAGCACGAGCAAUUAAAACAUCACAACCUCUCGCAGUAUGCCCAAGCAGCAGCACGACUGUGGUCUGACCAACAAGCCAACUCUUCACUCUGGUGCAAGACUGAGACCUUGGACCAACAAGAACACCACCAACCUCUUGCUGGCAAGGCCUGCUGACGGAGCGCACUGCGUCGCCAUGCAGGAGACUGAGAC
Lepisosteus oculatus (spotted gar) is the source of this 335-nucleotide non-coding RNA. NCBI's taxonomy places the organism in Eukaryota, Metazoa, Chordata, Actinopteri, Semionotiformes, Lepisosteidae. The record is from RefSeq and is a predicted model, not a curated record.